This is a non-coding RNA of Sebastes umbrosus (honeycomb rockfish), 83 nucleotides long. NCBI's taxonomy places the organism in Eukaryota, Metazoa, Chordata, Actinopteri, Perciformes, Sebastidae. The record is from the annotation of a RefSeq genome assembly.
GUCAGGAUGGCCGAGGGGUCUAAGGCGCUACGUUCAGGUUGCAGUCUCCUCUGGAGACGUGGGUUCGAAUCCCACUUCUGACA